This 75-nucleotide transfer RNA is filed under the name Candidatus Saccharimonadota bacterium. Its description in RNAcentral is "Candidatus Saccharibacteria bacterium tRNA-Thr". It matches the Rfam family "tRNA". Rfam says of the family: Transfer RNA (tRNA) molecules are approximately 80 nucleotides in length. Their secondary structure includes four short double-helical elements and three loops (D, anti-codon, and T loops). The record is from RNAcentral. Lineage: Bacteria; Candidatus Saccharimonadota.
GGGGAUAUAGUUUAACGGCAAAACGGUAGGCUAGUCACCUUGCAGUCCGGGGUUCAACUCCCCGUGUCUCCACCA